Molecule: ribosomal RNA, 481 nt
Filed under: uncultured bacterium
Lineage: Bacteria
Description: partial 16S ribosomal RNA
Rfam family: Bacterial small subunit ribosomal RNA
Source: RNAcentral
GAUGAACGCUGGCGGCGGGCUUAACACAUGCAAGUCGAACGAAGCAUUUAAGACAGAUUGCUUCGGCUGGAAGUCUUUGAUGACUGAGUGGCGAACGGGUGAGUAACGCGUGGGUAACCUGCCUCAUACAGGGGGAUAGGAGCAGGAAACGGCUGGGAAUACCGCAUAAGCGCUCAGUACCACAUGGAACAGAUUGAAAAACACGCGGGGCAUGAGAUGGAACCGCGUGUGGCUGGCUUGAGGGCGGGGUAACGGCCCACCUAGGCGACGAUCAGUCGCCCACCUGGGAGCGGGGCCGCCCACCUUGGGACUGCGACACGGCGCAGACUCCUACGGGAGGCAGCAGUGGGGAAUAUUGCACAAUGGAGGAAACUCUGAUGCAGCGACGCUGCGUGAGUGAAGAAGUAGUUAGAUAUGUAAAGCGCUAUCAGCAGGGAAGCUAGUGCCGGUACCUGACGAAGAAGCUCCGGCUAACUACGUG